GGGGUUGUGGCUCAGUGAUAGAGCGCUUGCUUCACACGCGUGAGGCACUGGGUUCAAUCCUCAGCACCA
RNAcentral lists this transfer RNA (69 nucleotides) under Ictidomys tridecemlineatus (thirteen-lined ground squirrel). RNAcentral's name for it is "Spermophilus tridecemlineatus (thirteen-lined ground squirrel) tRNA". It matches the Rfam family "tRNA". Rfam says of the family: Transfer RNA (tRNA) molecules are approximately 80 nucleotides in length. Their secondary structure includes four short double-helical elements and three loops (D, anti-codon, and T loops). Further hydrogen bonds mediate the characteristic L-shaped molecular structure. tRNAs have two regions of fundamental functional importance: the anti-codon, which is responsible for specific mRNA codon recognition, and the 3' end, to which the tRNAs corresponding amino acid is attached (by aminoacyl-tRNA synthetases). tRNAs cope with the degeneracy of the genetic code in two manners: having more than one tRNA (with a specific anti-codon) for a particular amino acid; and 'wobble' base-pairing, i.e. permitting non-standard base-pairing at the 3rd anti-codon position. Lineage: Eukaryota; Metazoa; Chordata; Mammalia; Rodentia; Sciuridae. The record is from Rfam by way of RNAcentral.